Molecule: transfer RNA, 84 nt
Filed under: Coriobacteriia bacterium
Lineage: Bacteria; Bacillati; Actinomycetota; Coriobacteriia
Also listed under: 1 other name
Description: tRNA-Leu
Rfam family: tRNA
About the family: Transfer RNA (tRNA) molecules are approximately 80 nucleotides in length. Their secondary structure includes four short double-helical elements and three loops (D, anti-codon, and T loops). Further hydrogen bonds mediate the characteristic L-shaped molecular structure. tRNAs have two regions of fundamental functional importance: the anti-codon, which is responsible for specific mRNA codon recognition, and the 3' end, to which the tRNAs corresponding amino acid is attached (by aminoacyl-tRNA synthetases). tRNAs cope with the degeneracy of the genetic code in two manners: having more than one tRNA (with a specific anti-codon) for a particular amino acid; and 'wobble' base-pairing, i.e. permitting non-standard base-pairing at the 3rd anti-codon position.
Source: RNAcentral
GGAGGCGUGGCGGAACGGCAGACGCAGCGGACUUAAAAUCCGCCGGGGCAACCUGUGGGGGUUCAAAUCCCCCCGCCUCUACCA